CAAGACAGGCGUGAAAUCCCGGGCUUACCUGGGACUGGCGCGUGUGACUGUAUAGCUAGAGGUGUGUCAGAGGGGGGUAGAAUUCACGUGUAGCAGUGAAAUGCGUAGAUAUGUGGAGGGAUUCCCAAUGGCGAAGGCAGCCCCCUGGGAUAACACUGACGCUCAUGCACGAAAGCGUGGGGAGCAGACAGGAUUAGAUACCCUGGUAGUCCACGCCAUAAACGAUGCUGACUAGUUGUUCGGGAUUUACAUCCUGAGUAACGUAGCUAACGCGUGAAGUCAGCCGCCUGGGGAGUACGGUCGCAAGAUUAAAACUCAAAGGAAUUGACGGGGACCCGCACAAGCGGUGGAUGAUGUGGAUUAAUUCGAUGCAACGCGAAAAACCUUACCUACCCUUGACAUGUCACUAACGAAGUAGAGAUACAUUAGGUGCUCGUAAGAGAAAGUGAACACAGGUGCUGCAUGGCUGUCGUCAGCUCGUGUCGUGAGAUGUUGGGUUAAGUCCCGCAACGAGCGCAACCCUUGUCUUUAGUUGCUACGCAAGAGCACUCUAAAGAGACUGCCGGUGACAAACCGGAGGAAGGUGGGGAUGACGUCAAGUCCUCAUGGCCCUUAUGGGUAGGGCUUCACACGUCAUACAAUGGUGCAUACAGAGGGUUGCCAACCCGCGAGGGGGAGCUAAUCUCAGAAAAUGCAUCGUAGUCCGGAUCGUAGUCUGCAACUCAACUACGUGAAGCUGGAAUCGCUAGUAAUCGCGGAUCAGAAUGUCGCGGUGAAUACGUUCCCGGGUCUUGUACACACCGCCCGUCAUACCAUGGGAGUGGGUUUUGCCAGAAGCCGUUAGCCUAACCGCAAGGAGGGCGACUGCCACGGCAGGGUUCAUGACUGGGGUAAAGUCGUAACAAGGUAACC
This 912-nucleotide ribosomal RNA is filed under the name uncultured bacterium. Its description in RNAcentral is "bacterial SSU rRNA". It matches the Rfam family "Bacterial small subunit ribosomal RNA", at positions 584 to 1501 of the family's 1533-position model. The record is from RNAcentral.